Molecule: small RNA, 117 nt
Filed under: Papio anubis (olive baboon)
Lineage: Eukaryota; Metazoa; Chordata; Mammalia; Primates; Cercopithecidae
Description: Metazoan signal recognition particle RNA (ENSPANG00000041278.1)
Source: Rfam by way of RNAcentral
GCUGGGCGCGAUGGCUCACGCCUGUAAUCCCAACACUUUGGGAGGCUGAGGUGGGCGGAUCACCUGAGGUCAGGAGUUCAAGACCAGCCUGACCAACAUGGUGAAACCCCGUCUCUA